AUAGAAAGGGACAGAGAGGAAGAGCUAUCUAACCGAGUUGUGUGCACUCGGCCCCUUAGCUAAGGUUGGUUAAGAAAAGGGUUGGCUCCAAAAAAAUCACAGGUAUAGCUAGAGAGAAAGGAGAGGGAGUUAUAGCUAAAAAUGAAACAAAAGUGGAGCACGGUAAAGGCAUGUCUUUGCCUUGCUUCUCUAACAAGGGCUAGCUAAAAAGAGAGGAGGUCAGUAAUAUUGUGAGGGGGGCAAACAAGAAGGAUAAGAAUAGGGGUGGAGAGGUUCGGUUGGCUUUGAAGCAAAACCGUCAACUUCUAGUGCGAGGAUUCUCGGUGAUAGGGAGUUGGAGUGCAAGCCUAGAACCACGGAGAAUUCGCUCCUCCUCACCCUCUUUUGUUUUCUUUUAAGUAUUUUUUUUUGUUCUUCUUGUUAGAGUUUCUAAUAUGUGGACAUUAUUUACCUUCUUUUACAUGUCUGUACAUUU
This 475-nucleotide long non-coding RNA is filed under the name Phoenix dactylifera (date palm). Its description in RNAcentral is "long non-coding RNA (PDAC_LNC005068)". The record is from RNAcentral. Lineage: Eukaryota; Viridiplantae; Streptophyta; Magnoliopsida; Arecales; Arecaceae.